This 488-nucleotide small RNA is filed under the name Pan troglodytes (chimpanzee). RNAcentral's name for it is "processed transcript". Lineage: Eukaryota; Metazoa; Chordata; Mammalia; Primates; Hominidae. The record is from RNAcentral.
GGGAGGCACACGAUCCAAGGUCCUUUUAGUCUCAGAGGAUGGGAAGAUCCUGGCAGAAGCAGAUGGACUGAGCACAAACCACUGGCUGAUCGGGACAGACAAGUGUGUGGAGAGGAUCAAUGAGAUGGUGAACAGGGCCAAACGGAAAGCAGGGGUGGAUCCUCUGGUACCGCUGCGAAGCUUGGGCCUAUCUCUGAGCGGUGGGGACCAGGAGGACGCGGGGAGGAUCCUGAUCGAGGAGCUGAGGGACCGAUUUCCCUACCUGAGUGAAAGCUACUUAAUCACCACCGAUGCCGCCGGCUCCAUCGCCACAGCUACACCGGAUGUGGCAAGCUGUUGCUCUGUGCCAGGCCUUGGCCACACUGAGCCUCCUAUUCCCUUUCCGCAGGUGGAGUUGUGCUCAUAUCUGGAACAGGCUCCAACUGCAGGCUCAUCAACCCUGAUGGCUCCGAGAGUGGCUGCGGCGGCUGGGGCCAUAUGAUGGGUGA